RNAcentral lists this ribosomal RNA (489 nucleotides) under Triticum aestivum (bread wheat). RNAcentral describes it as "partial small subunit ribosomal RNA". Lineage: Eukaryota; Viridiplantae; Streptophyta; Magnoliopsida; Poales; Poaceae. The record is from RNAcentral.
AUGGCGAGGCACUCCGACGACGAGGCUCGCGCUAGGGAAGAAGCCAAAGGUCCCGGUGGUGGAGGUCGGCUCCGAGGCGGGUGCGGGGGAAGGCAGCGAUGCAGGCGAGGAGGAGUCCUAGCGGCGGAGCUCCAUGGGAAGCGCAGCUAUGCACAACGGACGACCAGGAGGCUCACGGGGCCUCGGGUGCGGCAUGCAGAGGAGGCAGCGGCGCGACUCUGGAGCAUGGCAGGAGGAGGCGACGAGGAUCCGGGCAAGGACAUUGACAUCAGAGGCAUGGUGCUGGUCGCAGGGGAAGGAGGGGCCGACGCGGGGUCUCCUGCGUGUGGGGUGGCGCGAGAGGAGGAAGGAGAUCUGGAAGAGAAGGUUGGUGCCGCUGGGAGAUCGAAGAAAGAGGAGGGGGGAUCGAGCAAGUCCUCCUGGCUCGAUGCGUGCGUUGAGUGUGGCGGCGCGCAGGGAACCGAGGGAGAGGGGGUCGAGCGAGGCUAG